GGAUGUGGCUCAGUUUGGUAGAGCGCUGCGUUCGGGACGCAGAGGUCGCAGGUUCAAAUCCUGUCAU
Molecule: transfer RNA, 67 nt
Filed under: human gut metagenome
Rfam family: tRNA
About the family: Transfer RNA (tRNA) molecules are approximately 80 nucleotides in length. Their secondary structure includes four short double-helical elements and three loops (D, anti-codon, and T loops).
Source: RNAcentral